GACGAACGCUGGCGGCGUGCUUAACACAUGCAAGUCGAACGGAAAGGCCCUGCUUUUGUGGGGUGCUCGAGUGGCGAACGGGUGAGUAACACGUGAGUAACCUGCCCUUGACUUUGGGAUAACUUCAGGAAACUGGGGCUAAUACCGGAUAGGAGCUCCUGCUGCAUGGUGGGGGUUGGAAAGUUUCGGCGGUUGGGGAUGGACUCGCGGCUUAUCAGCUUGUUGGUGGGGUAGUGGCUUACCAAGGCUUUGACGGGUAGCCGGCCUGAGAGGGUGACCGGCCACAUUGGGACUGAGAUACGGCCCAGACUCCUACGGGAGGCAGCAGUGGGGAAUAUUGCACAAUGGGCGGAAGCCUGAUGCAGCAACGCCGCGUGCGGGAUGCCGGCCUUCGGGUUGUAAACCGCUUUCGCCUGUGACGAAGCGUGAGUGACGGUAAUGGGUAAAGAAGCACCGGCUAACUACGUG
RNAcentral lists this ribosomal RNA (468 nucleotides) under uncultured bacterium. RNAcentral describes it as "partial 16S ribosomal RNA". It matches the Rfam family "Bacterial small subunit ribosomal RNA", at positions 28 to 507 of the family's 1533-position model. The record is from RNAcentral.